This 66-nucleotide transfer RNA is filed under the name Charinus carajas. RNAcentral's name for it is "tRNA-Asp". Lineage: Eukaryota; Metazoa; Arthropoda; Arachnida; Amblypygi; Charinidae. The record is from RNAcentral.
AAAAAACUAGUUAAUAACAUAACAUAAAGCUGUCAGCUUCAAAUAAUCCAUUAUGGAUGUUUUUUA